GACGAACGCUGGCGGCGUGCUUAACACAUGCAAGUCGAACGGUAAGGCCCUUCGGGGUACACAAGUGGCGAACGGGUGAGUAACACGUGGGUGAUCUGCCCUGCACUUCGGGAUAAGCCUGGGAAACUGGGUCUAAUACCGGAUAGGACCACUGCCUGCAUGGGUGGUGGUGGAAAGCUUUUGCGGAGUGGGAUGGGCCCGCGGCCUAUCAGCUUGUUGGUGGGGUGAUGGCCUACCAAGGCGACGACGGGUAGCCGGCCUGAGAGGGUGACCGGCCACACUGGGACUGAGAUACGGCCCAGACUCCUACGGGAGGCAGCAGUGGGGAAUAUUGCACAAUGGGCGCAAGCCUGAUGCAGCGACGCCGCGUGAGGGAUGACGGCCUUCGGGUUGUAAACCUCUUUCAGCACCGACGAAGCGCAAGUGACGGUAGGUGCAGAAGAAGGACCGGCCAACUACGUGCCAGCCGCCGCAGUAA
This 478-nucleotide ribosomal RNA is filed under the name uncultured bacterium. RNAcentral describes it as "partial 16S ribosomal RNA". It matches the Rfam family "Bacterial small subunit ribosomal RNA", at positions 28 to 523 of the family's 1533-position model. The record is from RNAcentral.